Long non-coding RNA from Mus musculus (house mouse), 404 nucleotides. RefSeq annotates it as predicted gene, 31106. NCBI's taxonomy places the organism in Eukaryota, Metazoa, Chordata, Mammalia, Rodentia, Muridae. The transcript is spliced from 3 exons. The record is from RefSeq and is a predicted model, not a curated record.
AGGUUUCUCAGCUGACAAAAUGACACGAUUGAAGCCAAAUCAGACGUAACAAGGCAUCUGAAGGAAAAAGAGGUAUUUUCUAGAAGCUUGGAGCCUUGGUGUCCAGAAGAUGUUUAGCAUUUGUCAUGAUAUAGGGGACCACUCUACACUAACAGUCAAGGAGAUAGAGAGUGAGAUCCUAGCAUCCUCGGGAAAGGAUGAACCAUCUUCAAGUCUGUAACAAGUUGCUAAAGACUGGACAUUGGCUCUUGUGAGAGUGUGAAGCCACCGGCGGGCAAAGACACACAACAGCAGGAAGUCUCUUUGCUGCAGGGUUUUCAGCCAGAGACUCCUCCACAUGUUCACAGAUAAGACUGUGUUCAAGAAUGCCAGAGAGAGCCCCCUCCAUAUCUAGAAUUGGAGCC